GACGAACGCUGGCGGCGUGCCUAACACAUGCAAGUCGAGCGGAGUCGAUCGACGGAAGCCUUCGGGCGGAAGAUGGUUGACUUAGCGGCGGAUGGGUGAGUAACGCGUGGGCAACCUGCCUCGAAGACCGGGAUAACAGCCCGAAAGGGCUGCUAAUACCGGAUGUGGUCAAGGAUCCGCAUGGAUCUUUGAUUAAAGGGGAAACCCGUUUCGAGAUGGGCCCGCGUCCUAUCAGCUAGUUGGUGAGGUAAAAGCUCACCAAGGCGACGACGGGUAGCCGGCCUGAGAGGGUGACCGGCCACACUGGAACUGAGACACGGUCCAGACUCCUACGGGGGGCAGCAGUGGGGAAUCUUCCACAAUGGGCGAAAGCCUGAUGGAGCGACGCCGCGUGAGCGAAGAAGGCCUUCGGGUUGUAAAGCUCUGUCUGGAGGGACGAAGGAAGUGACGGUACCUCCGGAGGAAGCCACGGCUAACUACGUG
Molecule: ribosomal RNA, 483 nt
Filed under: uncultured bacterium
Lineage: Bacteria
Description: bacterial SSU rRNA
Rfam family: Bacterial small subunit ribosomal RNA
Source: RNAcentral